GACGAACGCUGGCGGCGUGCUUAACACAUGCAAGUCGAACGGAGAGGCCCUGCUUUUGUGGGGUGCUCGAGUGGCGAACGGGUGAGUAACACGUGAGUAACCUGCCCUUGACUUUGGGAUAACUUCAGGAAACUGGGGCUAAUACCGGAUAGGAGCUCCUGCUGCAUGGUGGGGGUUGGAAAGUUUCGGCGGUUGGGGAUGGACUCGCGGCUUAUCAGCUUGUUGGUGGGGUAGUGGCUUACCAAGGCUUUGACCGGUAGCCGGCCUGAGAGGGUGACCGGCCACAUUGGGACUGAGAUACGGCCCAGACUCCUACGGGAGGCAGCAGUGGGGAAUAUUGCACAAUGGGCGGAAGCCUGAUGCAGCAACGCCGCGUGCGGGAUGACGGCCUUCGGGUUGUAAACCGCUUUCGCCUGUGACGAAGCGUGAGUGACGGUAAUGGGUAAAGAAGCACCGGCUAACUACGUG
RNAcentral lists this ribosomal RNA (468 nucleotides) under uncultured bacterium. RNAcentral describes it as "partial 16S ribosomal RNA". It matches the Rfam family "Bacterial small subunit ribosomal RNA", at positions 28 to 507 of the family's 1533-position model. The record is from RNAcentral.